GCGCUGAGUAGUAGAAAUGAAUACAGGGGUUGGAAACCACAAAUGAACACUCUUCCCAUGGG
RNAcentral lists this transfer RNA (62 nucleotides) under Macaca radiata (bonnet macaque). RNAcentral's name for it is "tRNA-Thr". The record is from RNAcentral. Lineage: Eukaryota; Metazoa; Chordata; Mammalia; Primates; Cercopithecidae.